Molecule: long non-coding RNA, 1378 nt
Organism: Piliocolobus tephrosceles (Ugandan red Colobus)
Lineage: Eukaryota; Metazoa; Chordata; Mammalia; Primates; Cercopithecidae
Exons: 3
Source: RefSeq, a predicted model, not a curated record
GCUAGUAACCCAGAAGUUUGGCAAGACAAAAUUCGAUUUUGAGUCUAGAACAAUCAAACCUUGAACAAGCACUGAGCAAUGCUAACGUUCUCUUGGAUGGUGAUGUCAAUGAUUGCGUCUCACAGAACGAGGCUUAUCCCUGAGGCUGCUUGGAAAUGGACAAUUCAGGAAGAAUCAAUGGAGAGCUGCAUUUUUGAUGGAUGAACCAUUAGAAAAUUCUACGGCAUUUUUCCCAUGACCUUUCCUGAAGACAGAUGAAUAGCCUUUCAAAGGUUGCAUUUUAUUUCAUGUUCAAAGAAGAAAAAAAAAGAAAGGAAGGAAAAAAGAAAACCUCGCCAGAUGAGGCACAUUAAAAACAACAUAGUCAAGUUAGGUUCUUUCUCAAUGUAAAACACAUAAAUACAGGGAAAAGGAGGAUGGUGGUUAAAGGUAUCCUAUGGAAAAGCAAGAGUGAUUAGCAAAGAUGGCAGAAGAAUCAGCAUAACUCGAGGAAGUUCUCAGUUUCCUGGAAACAGCUUCUAACCAACACUCCCACUCUAUGUCCCUGACGAGACGGACAACUAGAAGUGGGAAAGAGGAAACUGCAGAAGUGUAGCGGAGCCCACAUGGACCUUCACACUGAGGAAGAUAUUAGAUGGCUGGUGUGGACACCAGAGUCUCAGGGUCCUCUGGUCUCUUAUUGAGACAUCUCGUCAACAUCCAUUUAAAGGAGAAGGUGGAGGAGGGUGUGGGAGCGUGUACCAGUCUGCCCUUCUGUGAAAGACCUUCUGUUAUUGUGGAGCAAGUUACUCAGGGCUCUCACCUCCCACUCCAGGUGCUAUUGGAACAGUCCUUCCAGCCCCACCUAACGUUCUCUUCCAGGGCACUUUGGGUGGACAGGCUCUUCUCUGCUCAGGACAUUUCUAGUGCUGAGUCACUGUCCCGACCUUUUCCCACCCCUUUAUAUUUGCUCCCCAAGAAGUCACCCUGAUGACCCGUCCUGAACCCACCUCUCCAGCCAGCGCUGUUACAAACAAAAAUUGCACAUAUAUAUAUUUGUAUUUAGUGCGUUUAUUUAUUUAUUUUUUAUUUUUUGUUUCCAUAGGUUUUUGGGGAACAGGUGGUAUUUGGUUAUAUGAGUAAGUUCUUUAGUGGUGAUUUGUGAGAUUCUGGUGUGCCCAUCACUCGAGCCGUAUACAUUGAACCCAGUUUGUAGUCUUGUAUCCCUCAACCCCUUCCCACCCUUUCCUCCUGGUUCUCCAAUAUCCAUUGUAUCAUUCGUAUGCCUUCGCAUCCUCAUAGCUCAGCUCCCACUCAUGAGUGAAAACAUACGAUGUUUGGUUUUCCAUUCCUGAGUUACUCCACUGAGAAUAAUAGUCUCCAAUCUUAUCCAGGUGGC